Molecule: ribosomal RNA, 494 nt
Filed under: uncultured bacterium
Lineage: Bacteria
Description: partial 16S ribosomal RNA
Rfam family: Bacterial small subunit ribosomal RNA
Source: RNAcentral
GACGAACGCUGGCGGCGUGCUUAACACAUGCAAGUCGAACGGUGAAGCGCCUUCCUUUUUGGUGGGUGUGGAUGAGUGGCGAACGGGUGAGUAACACGUGAGUAACCUGCCCCCUUCUUCUGGAUAACCGCAUGAAAGUGUGGCUAAUACGGGAUAUUCUGGGUCUGUCGCAUGAUGGGUCUGGGCAAGAUAUUGUUUCGGUGGGGGAUGGGCUCGCGGCCUAUCAGCUUGUUGGUGGGGUGAUGGCCUACCAAGGCGGGGACGGGUAGCCGGCCUGGGAGGGUGGGCGGCCACACUGGGACGGAGACACGGACCAGACUCCUACGGGAGGCAGCAGGGGGGAAUAGUGCACAAUGGGCGCAAGGCUGAUGCAGCGACGCCGCGUGAGGGAUGGAGGCCUUCGGGUUGUGAACCUCUUUCGCCAGUGAAGCAGGCCUGCCUCGUUUGUGGGUGGGUUGACGGUAGCUGGAUAAGAAGCGCCGGCUAACUACGUG